RNAcentral lists this long non-coding RNA (9889 nucleotides) under Zea mays. RNAcentral describes it as "long non-coding RNA (ZMAY_LNC003332)". The record is from RNAcentral. Lineage: Eukaryota; Viridiplantae; Streptophyta; Magnoliopsida; Poales; Poaceae.
AUUGCUAAUGUUACUUGAUGAUGUGUUUAGGUCCAAUUGACUAGAACGUCAUGUCUGAUGUAGAGUUAAAUAUAUCUAGUUGUUACACCUAAGAAUUGUGAUGUCUUGCUUUAAGUCUGUAUCCUCCUUAGUAUAACUUAUCUAUCUUGUGCUAUUUAUGCUCCUAUUCACUCAUAUGCAUUAUGCAUAUCAUCUAGGUACGUUAAUUAAUCACGUGAUGUGGAGCACAAGAGCUGGAUUAAUCAUAAGACGAUGCUGAUGGACGAAGCUAAAGUGGAUGAAUCAAUCAAGUGCCAGGAUGGAAGAUGCUCACCAAGUGGUCGUCAUUUAACAACACUAACGUAGUGUUAUCCCAGGCAAGCCCCGGUGCAUUUGCCACCUCCUUGUUGUUUUAAAACUUUUAUCACUUAUAUGCUGCAUUAGGUGAUAGGAGUUGAGUGAUGAAACACUUGAUACAUUGCCAUUCCUUGGAAUUUGAUUAUCCUCCUUGAUACCUGUUUUAUAAAAAGAACUAAUGAGGCUUAGCCCUGCCUAGAGAAUUAAAAUUUGUUUCUUUUUAAAAGAAUGAUGUGUGACACUGGGUAUGGGUUUGUUUUAUGAAAAAGGACUUGUAAUGUUGAGCGCAUCAUCUGCAGUGAUGAAUUCAUCAUUCAAGUAUGGUACCUCUGUCAGGUACAUGGUUUGGGUGUUAAAUAAUAAGAUGAGACCAGACGUUGAGCAGGAAAGGUCGCCCGUCUGUGUCGCUUAAGGACCGUUCCGAUUGUUGGUCUGCUGGUCUAGGACCCUUUAACUGGCCACAUGCCUCAUCAUGGGUAAGCUUAGCCUCGGUCGGACCAAUACCAGAACAGCUCGCACGCACUGGGAGUGGAGCGAUGGCGAGAGUAGCUUGUACCCUCCGUGGCAAGAGACUGGAAGGUGGGGUGCUGUACUCUCGGAAACAUGGCGGGCACCAUGGCGAGAGUAACGUGUACCAACCAGGCCAAUGGCUGGACGGUGGAGUACUGUGCUCUCGGGUCGCGUGAACCCGUUCUGGUCUUGAGAAACCUGUGGGCGAGUUGACAUAUGCAAGGGUUAAGUGCUACAUAUGUCGUGUGGUUGGAGAUCCUCAGCUGAGUAUUAAUCGAUUCGGAUCGCCGUUACUUCUCGGAUAUGAAGACUGGAUCACUGCCCUGCAUCGUAGAUAACAAGUGAAACUAAAGUUGAUAAAAGGAAGCUAGUGUAGGACAAGUGAAUGCUCUAGAUUAGGCAAAUCUAGAUUCAGGAAAAGUACUUAACUUGUGAAGUAAAAUUUUGGCAUAAGGAUCCACUACUAGUAAGCUCUUUUGCAAAAUGAGUCUAUGAAAUUUGAUAAGCUUUACCUUGAUUCCCAAUAAACCAGCAUACCCUUGAGAGUCUUUUCUUUAGUCGGGUAAGUCUUGCUGAGUAAUUGCGUACUCAGGGUUUUAUUCCCUGUUGUUUUUCAGGUUAUAAUUUUGUUCUGUUGUGGAUGCUGCUAAGUGCCGGUGGGCUCGGCCUUCUUAUAUAGGUGUAUCCCAUCUUUAGCUUCUUUAUUGAGGAUUGUCACUUAAGCUAGCAUGUAUUUUAAAACCUAUAAAUAUUUUAUACAUUUUAAAUUGUAAUUCUUUUGAAUCACUUUCUUUUGUAAUCACUCCGAUAAUUGUAUAAUGUAAACUUAUUGUAACAUGUAAUCAUUUUGUAAUAAAGAAUUUAUUUCCGCUGCAAAUGUUGGUGUGUGAUUUGUGUUUACUUAAUCCUGCGAUCUUGGCGGUAAGUCGUUUAUCCGGGGUCCUCGGGGCACUCGGACAGAUCCUGUUAAGUUGUUUGGUGCACACGCAUAGCUGUCUGAGGUCUUUGAGACAAGGACAGGUGCAUGUGGGCCCGAUAACUUGGGAGGUUCUGCGACAGCUGGUAUUGGAGCUUGAUUAAGUAUGAUACAGUCACAUACGUACUUUAAAAACAAAGUUUUGGUUUUGAAAAAACCUAUUUUCGACUAAACACAUUGUUUGGCUUUGAAAAUCAGUUUUGAAAAACUAUAAUGCUAGCGACAUCCUCUGUUAAGCCCUAAAUUAAGGACUACUAGGUGGCUUAGUUCAGAAUACUAACUCAUAACCUGGGAAGGGUAACGCAUACAUGUGUAAUGUUAUUUUUGAGGCCAUUCAGUUUUGAAUGGAUCGACGCUCAAGGUAAGGUGAGAUGUGAGAGCAUGACCGAACAAACGUCGGUCUAGGGGAGAGUAUAAAAAGCGCUUGAUUAUAUACAUGUUACACAUAUGUAUAUAUGAAGGCUGCGAUGUGGAGUAUUUACUUUUCCGGGAUUCAGUACCCCAUGGAUGUGUAUGGCUAUACAGAUAUGGGAAUACUGAAAAGUGUAAUGUACCACAAUGGGCUGCCCUGUGGUUAAAGUGUGGCAGCGGCGCCUAUGCGUGGCUCGACGCUUAAUGAUGAGCUGGCCUCCAUAUAGCAAUAUAUGGAGUAUAAACUGUGAUAAACUGUCAUGUGUGAAUUGCAUCAUUGGGAAUUGGGCUGUGAUGGAAUUUUCUGCAGGUACACUAACUUCGAACUCGUAUGUGUAGCUGACGACUAGCAAUAUAUCGAGAGAGACGUAGGUAUGCCACCGAUAUAGAACGAUAUUGCCACAUUAUGUUGGCAAAAUUCGUGAGAACUAAUAGGACGAGCAUGCAUCCUGAUUAUUGCAUUGUGUUUGUUGUUUGUGCACAAAUAUGCUUCUCUCACCCUUAUUCUAAUAAUUGGUGAUUGUGAACGAACAUGCUUUUCGAACAUGCUUUUCUCAUCUUUAUUCCGAUAAUAAAUAAUUGGAAAAUAUGUGACGCAUUACUAUCCUAUAAGCAAAUUUCUAGUCUUGUUUGUUGGGUCCUUUAGACAUGUAUUUAUGUGGCAUAUGGUUCUUCUUAGUUUGACCGCUAGUCCAACUUGUGUUUGUUCUGGUGUGUUUGUGCCGGUAGAAUGUUGGUGGUAUGUUUGUGUAAACUAAAAAUUUGGCCAUGUCCUCAUCUAGGAGCCAUGACCCAAAUCGAUGUUAAUUCCCUGAAAUUUUUCCCCAGCUUCCAAACGUGGACGAGUCUGAAUUUUUCCAUCAUUACUUUGUGAUCAAGGUCAUAUAAAUAGAUGUUUAGGUAAUCCCCUUGUUGGACAUAAGAUGCACUCAAACUUAAAGAUAAGGAUCUCGGGUCUGUGAUCCUGACAAUUCACUUGUAGCUCUCUUAUGGUCAUAUUUUCAUCCUAAACCAUACCCUUGUUUGGUUGGUGCAAGCUGAUGUUUCUAUUCUGCUUUGCCUCUCCAUGAGAAUUACAUUGUUGCUUUCUCAAUAUAAUCUAGGAAAGGAAUGCCCAAUAAAUUUUCUUGAAUUUAAUGCCUUUGAUUUCCUCAUAUCUCUCGAAGGCAUACCAAUUUAAUCUUCUGAUCGUUUUCCCCUCUAUAUCUAAUCAGACCCUAAUCGUUGACUUGAUAAUCUCUGCGAUGGACAUAGAAAUAUGCUCGGGGCUGAAUUAACAGUCUCCCAUUAUACUCCUUUCAUCAAGUUUAGGUUAUGGCCAUGCCAUGUUCACUUCAUCGGGCCAUGAUCUAUUGGCUCUCUACUUGUAGCCAUUUUGACUGGGGGAGUCUCUUUUGUAUAUAGUCACCCUUGCUUAGUCUAUCUGUGCCAUGCGAGAUUUCUUAUUGGUUAUGUCAGAUAAUGGUGUUAUGACUAAAACUGGUGGUGCCGUGACGAAAUCGAGGGCCUUCUGUGGGUGCGCACACAUGGUUGUGCUACUCGGCACGCGCUGGUAUCACAGUUAGUAGUUGUAAUCCAUUAUGAGACUAUGUCAAUGCGUUAUCUUGGCACAAUCUAUUUUUGCUACGUGAGAUUGUUAUUGGUGUCAGUUCGGUAGUGGUGUCACGAUUAAGGACUUAUGGUGCCGCAGCGAAACUGAGAGCCUCCUUUGAAUGCGCACACAGGGAUGUGCUACUCGUCGGAUGCUGGUAUCAAGGUCUCUAGUCAUGAUCCAUUGUGGAACUACACUGAUGUGUGAUCUUCCGUGGACUCCUCCCUUGAAACAAUUUCUAUGUUGUUUGUCAAGUGAUCAAGCAACAUCUAUCAUCUCUAUUGGAUCAAACGGAUAUACCACUUUCAUGUGUGGUCACAUGUCUUUUGACUCAAGUGGUGACUGCACACAUACAAGUUCCCUUUGCAUCCUUUAUUGUAAAGGUGAAGCCUUGAAGCUUUUUAGUGUUGGGAGACAACCUCUUGAUAUGAUGUUCUCCACCUGGAACUACCUUAUGCUAUCACUGGUAUGGACAGGAGUUACAUGUUUCUCUACUCUUAAAAGUCUUUCGCUCCGAAUCUCGGGACGAGAUUCUUUUAAGGGGGAAGGGUUGUAACACCCCAGGUGUUUAUCGUCUGCUCGACCACUAGUGCGGACGUUAACACGUGAUAGUUGUGAAUGUAAAGGUCACUAAUUUUUAAUCAACCUCGUUUAUCACGAUUUUGAUAUCGUGUCUAUCUCCAUCUGUCUAAAUUGACCUAAUUUAUUUUGUAAAAUUCAGACUUUGGUAAUUUUCGGAACAUCGAAUCCAGUAUCGUUUGGGUUGAGCCAUCGACGUCUUGCCCAAACUCUAAUCUUUGAAAUCGAAUCCGGUUUCUUAAACUUCGUUUAAAAUUAUGGAUUAAUGGAACAUUAAUUUGGAAUCUCGACUCACUCUUGCGAUUUUGGUCCAAGCAAAUAUUAUUAGAACUCGACGACAACAAUAUUGAUGCAAAAAUUAAAUCAGACCGAGAUUAGAGCCGAUAUUGAGUACUUGUAAUUAAUUUGUUUCCCUGUUCAGACUGCGAAUGAAUUACCAGAUUUCAGACUUAAAAUAUCUGCAUUUUUUUUCCUUUUGUUAAGUGUUUGGAGAAACAAAAAUCUGAAUCCUCCUCAUCCUUUCCACCGCUUAUGUCUUCUAGCCUUAUCUCCUCUCUAUUCCUACGUGAAGAAGCCAAACUCGCUCACAUCGCUCUCUCUCCCUGCCUGCUUGCACUCGCCCUCAGCUCCCAGGCAUGGAGCUCGCCCAAGCUCCGUCUCCCAGCGCUCUCCCUCACAGCCGCGCUCUCCUCCACCUGCAACUCGCCCCUAUCUCCUCCUCUCCCCAUGGCGGCUCCCCCUGGAUCCCUCCCUGCGCAGACCCUCUCCCGUGGCUGGUGUCGUCCCUUCCUGCAGCCGGCCGUCGUUUCCCCUCACUGCUCUUGGAGUCAGUCGUCCCCGCCGUGAUGCCCUACCCCAACAGCAAACAGGUCGUCACAUCUGCUCCCCAUGCUCAGCUCGCCCCUGCUCCCUAACGGCAUCACCUGCAGCAGCCGCGUCUUCUCGCUCCCUUUCCCAAUCUCGCACCAGCGCCUGUCCUCCAGCCGCCCCCAUGGCUCCCCUGGCCCUCACCUCUCACGUCAGCACUAGCCCAGUUGUGGUACAGCAGUAGCAUGCUGGAUCUCUGUAGUCCUGAUGAGGAGAAGAAAGCUUUAGUGUGGCGCUUGUCAAGUGUUUGAUAAAAAGGCUGAACCUGGAAUCGUUGUUGUGUCCUCCCUGUCAGAGUCAUCUGGGUCCAUGGUAAGUUGUUUUACUCAUUUUGUUCACUACCUUAAUGAAUAGAUAUAUUGGUCCAUGAUUCUCUUGUCCAUUGCCUAGGUGUGCGGUGGUGAUAGCUUCUAGGUCUUUGUUGUUGUUUGUGUCAAUUCCAUGGCAUCGUAAGGGAAGGCACUCCCUCUUCCCUUUUAUGUUCAUGUCGUUGUUAGUGUAUUAGAUAAUUGAUGAAAUAUCGUAGUUGGGUGCAAAAACAUGAUUGUGGUAGUUUGACUUUUGUGAUUUGUAUUCUUGCAAAGGGACUUGACUUUGAAAUAUUGCAAAUAUGUAUAAGGUAUUCUUGGCAUGAUUUUAGCCAUCUCUUAGUUGUUACUGUAUUGCAUGGAGGAGCUGUAGCUAUAGUUUAGAAUUAAAUUAAUCAACGUCAUUUGAUAGAGAACCUGGUAGGUUGUGGGGUUGUAAUUUUAAUACUUGCUCAGUUGGUCCCAUCCUGGUAGCGAUAGAAACACUAGUGAGAUGUUUAUGAUCUCAAUACGUCUCAUUUGACUAUGUUUUCCUUUCUUUGUUGUAUAAUUCUUUUUUCUCUGAGAAUCUCAUAUGUUCAUGAUCUGCAGCUGAGCAAGUUUGUUUGUUCCUCUAUGUUUUAACGAUGCAAGAUAUAUUAAUAAUUUGCUAGCAGGAAUCCUGCUGUUGAUAGUGUCUAGAUUCAAAUUGGCUCCUUCGGGUUCAUAUUCAUGCAGUGUAGUUCAUAUACGUGUUGAUAUGUGGUCCAUGGUAGUGUUGGGCAAUCUGGAUGCAAGCUGGAAUAAUGUGAUUGUUUCUGUUUUUGUAAUUCUCUCAUAUCUCCAAAUUGCUAUGUUCACUCAUCUUGUUGUGACGGUGGUUUGGUUAGAUUAAUUUCACAAUAGGAUAGAUGUUGCCUGCCUUACAUAGUGGUUUAGGCAUUGAGGGUGACAAUAGUAUAUUAACAUCUAAUAUGUAUGAUUUUCAUAUUGCACUAUCUACACAGACUAUACGUUGGCUGUUUUGUAGCUUUGUUCUUCCUAAAACUUCUUAUAGCGUUGUCCUUCUCAUGGCAUAUUUAGUGCUUGCUAUUUGGACUGCAUGACUAGUUUUAGUUAUGCCACUAGUUCAAUGAAGUAAACCAUGUUUUCUGUAGAAAUGUUAUAUAGGAAAGUUGUAGAUAACUUCUUUAUCUUAAUUGUGUAAAAGUUUCAUGACCAUAGGCUUAGCAGUUUAGAAGUUAUGAUUUUUCCAAGUCCAGUUUCUAAAUCUGUCUAAAUUCUGUACUGAUUUCGAAAAUUGCCUUGUUUGACUAAAUUAAACUGAGAAUCAGCCCUUAGUAAUUAUAGAAUAAUUGUAGUAAUUUUCUUAAGCUUUCCAAUAAAUUUUGGAUCACCCAUUUUGGUGGUCUAGAAGUCAAGUUAUAGCUGUUUGAAAUAUGAAGUCUGAAUCUGUCCAAAUCUGGACAGAAGAGACUGUUUGUAUUAACUGACUUAGAUACACAUUAAAUUAACCUGGGAUGAUUAUAAAUGAAUUAUAGACAAUUCUAUUAGCUUUCUAAAAAGUCUAGGAUCGCCUGAUUUGGAUUUCUGAAACUCCAGUUAUGGAUUUUUGAAGUAAGUAGUCGAAUUCUGUCCAAAUCUGGACAUAAUUAAAGUUUAGCACUGUUUGACCUUUUAAACUGUCGAAUCUCAUUAUGAUGAUAAUACCAAAGUUGUAGAGGACUUUAUAAGCUUUCCAAAAAGUCUUAGUUUACUAUUUUUGGAUGCAUAUUUUGUGAGUUAUGAAUAAAACAAUUGACUACUGUGCUGCUGUCCAGAAAAUCUGCACACGUUAAACUGAUUACUUAGAAUCAUUCUUGCUUGGCUAGAUAGGAUUAAUUAGUUCUUGGUUCUUGAUUGGUGAAGUCUUGAAGUAGCUAACCUCAAGUGAACAUGUGUCUCAUGUUUAAUGUGUUUAGUUAUUGUUACAUAAUGUUUGGAUUAGGUCCGAUUACCUCAAAGUUCAUGAUUGUAUAAAGUCAGAAGUAUCUAGUGUUUAUGCAUAUAAGUGUUUUAAACCUUUAAAUUAAGAUAAAUACUAUACUAUAAAAUUCUAUGCUUGUUAAUAAUGAGUUGUUCCUUAGUACUAAGAGUGGUGUUAAUCAUUCGGUAGGAUAUUCUAGUUCAUGAGGUUGGAGUUAUAUGUAGCCUUUUUGAUGCUUGAGUUCGAUCCGUUUAAAUGAAAAAAAUGUAAUUGUGAUACAUAGUGAUAUGUCAACAUAUAGUAAUUGUUUUUAAAUAUUGUGGUACAUCAGUGUUAUAUUUAUUCUAAAUAUAUUAGGAUUUGUAUAUUGCUAAUGUUACUUGAUGAUGUGUUUAGGUCCAAUUGACUAGAACGUCAUGUCUGAUGUAGAGUUAAAUAUAUCUAGUUGUUACACCUAAGAAUUGUGAUGUCUUGCUUUAAGUCUGUAUCCUCCUUAGUAUAACUUAUCUAUCUUGUGCUAUUUAUGCUCCUAUUCACUCAUAUGCAUUAUGCAUAUCAUCUAGGUACGUUAAUUAAUCACGUGAUGUGGAGCACAAGAGCUGGAUUAAUCAUAAGACGAUGCUGAUGGACGAAGCUAAAGUGGAUGAAUCAAUCAAGUGCCAGGAUGGAAGAUGCUCACCAAGUGGUCGUCAUUUAACAACACUAACGUAGUGUUAUCCCAGGCAAGCCCCGGUGCAUUUGCCACCUCCUUGUUGUUUUAAAACUUUUAUCACUUAUAUGCUGCAUUAGGUGAUAGGAGUUGAGUGAUGAAACACUUGAUACAUUGCCAUUCCUUGGAAUUUGAUUAUCCUCCUUGAUACCUGUUUUAUAAAAAGAACUAAUGAGGCUUAGCCCUGCCUAGAGAAUUAAAAUUUGUUUCUUUUUAAAAGAAUGAUGUGUGACACUGGGUAUGGGUUUGUUUUAUGAAAAAGGACUUGUAAUGUUGAGCGCAUCAUCUGCAGUGAUGAAUUCAUCAUUCAAGUAUGGUACCUCUGUCAGGUACAUGGUUUGGGUGUUAAAUAAUAAGAUGAGACCAGACGUUGAGCAGGAAAGGUCGCCCGUCUGUGUCGCUUAAGGACCGUUCCGAUUGUUGGCCUGCUGGUCUAGGACCCUUUAACUGGCCACAUGCCUCAUCAUGGGUAAGCUUAGCCUCGGUCGGACCAAUACCAGAACAGCUCGCACGCACUGGGAGUGGAGCGAUGGCGAGAGUAGCUUGUACCCUCCGUGGCAAGAGACUGGAAGGUGGGGUGCUGUACUCUCGGAAACAUGGCGGGCACCAUGGCGAGAGUAACGUGUACCAACCAGGCCAAUGGCUGGACGGUGGAGUAUUGUGCUCUCGGGUCGCGUGAACCCGUUCUGGUCUUGAGAAACCUGUGGGCGAGUUGACAUAUGCAAGGGUUAAGUGCUACAUAUGUCGUGUGGUUGGAGAUCCUCAGCUGAGUAUUAAUCGAUUCGGAUCGCCGUUACUUCUCGGAUAUGAAGACUGGAUCACUGCCCUGCAUCGUAGAUAACAAGUGAAACUAAAGUUGAUAAAAGGAAGCUAGUGUAGGACAAGUGAAUGCUCUAGAUUAGGCAAAUCUAGAUUCAGGAAAAGUACUUAACUUGUGAAGUAAAAUUUUGGCAUAAGGAUCCACUACUAGUAAGCUCUUUUGCAAAAUGAGUCUAUGAAAUUUGAUAAGCAUUACCUUGAUUCCCAAUAAACCAGCAUACCCUUGAGAGUCUUUUCUUUAGUCGGGUAAGUCUUGCUGAGUAAUUGCGUACUCAGGGUUUUAUUCCCUGUUGUUUUUCAGGUUAUAAUUUUGUUCUGUUGUGGAUGCUGCUAAGUGCCGGUGGGCUCGGCCUUCUUAUAUAGGUGUAUCCCAUCUUUAGCUUCUUUAUUGAGGAUUGUCACUUAAGCUAGCAUGUAUUUUAAAACCUAUAAAUAUUUUAUACAUUUUAAAUUGUAAUUCUUUUGAAUCACUUUCUUUUGUAAUCACUCCGAUAAUUGUAUAAUGUAAACUUAUUGUAACAUGUAAUCAUUUUGUAAUAAAGAAUUUAUUUCCGCUGCAAAUGUUGGUGUGUGAUUUGUGUUUACUUAAUCCUGCGAUCUUGGCGGUAAGUCGUUUAUCCGGGGUCCUCGGGGCACUCGGACAGAUCCUGUUAAGUUGUUUGGUGCACACGCAUAGCUGUCUGAGGUCUUUGAGACAAGGACAGGUGCAUGUGGGCCCGAUAACUUGGGAGGUUCUGCGACAGCUUCUGUAAUGUAGACAUUCUCACAAUAAUUAUAAACUUUUAUAAUGAUACACAGUGAAAAUGACUCAACUCGAAUCCAUUGGUUUUUUCUAUAG